AGAUUGCUUUAUCUUAGAUUUUAUCUUUCUAACAUUCUCUAACCUUUGCUUGUUCUGGCCAAGAUACUCUAUGGUAAGGUGAAGUAAGUUAGUUUUCAUUCUUGAUCUCCUUCCAGCUCCGGACAUUUAUUGAGUUAGCGUUAUUAUGGCAUUUUCAGUUUUUUUUUUUGUGAAUGUGGAGGUUUUAGGUUUAGAUUAUGUGUCUGCUCUAGUUUCUUCAUUUUAGUUUGGUUAUUUUAUAAUUUUUAAUAAUAAAAUAAA
This 261-nucleotide long non-coding RNA is filed under the name Brassica napus (rape). Its description in RNAcentral is "long non-coding RNA (BNAP_LNC015615)". The record is from RNAcentral. Lineage: Eukaryota; Viridiplantae; Streptophyta; Magnoliopsida; Brassicales; Brassicaceae.